This 206-nucleotide long non-coding RNA is filed under the name Physcomitrium patens. RNAcentral describes it as "long non-coding RNA (PPAT_LNC007324)". The record is from RNAcentral. Lineage: Eukaryota; Viridiplantae; Streptophyta; Bryopsida; Funariales; Funariaceae.
GGGUACAAUUUGUGUGCAAAAAUUAGAGAAUUUGUAGUUAGGGUGAAAAAAUUAUAGCCGUUUGAAGUUAAGCUGUAUAAUUAAAGACAUACUGUUACUCUUUUGAGAGUACGAGGAGUUUUACAACAGCUUUUAAAGAUCGGAAGGUGCAAUUGGAAUGGCGAUUUCAAGGCCUACAUCUUUCAUGAAAGAAUUAUUGCUUUUGG